GGCGGGGUAGCGCAUGGAGCGCGCCAGGAUUGCAUUAAACUUUCUUGUAUAGCGCCAUGCAAUAAACCUGGUUCACCCGUUCGAUCUGGGUCCCCGUCC
Non-coding RNA from Mycena metata, 99 nucleotides. The record is from the annotation of a GenBank genome assembly. Lineage: Eukaryota; Fungi; Basidiomycota; Agaricomycetes; Agaricales; Mycenaceae.